CAUCCUCUACGCCCAUCGCGUGCGUACACUUGCCUGCGAGCUUAUAGCUGUAACUACCACCUGGCGCUUCCUCGCUGAAGGACACAGAAAGAGGGGAAGGGAGAUCGGCACCGAGUCGAAGAACACAGUCUCCUCCACGCACACAUACGCAUGGAAGCAGGCGCCAUGACCUCCAUCGCUGAUGGUGCUGAAGAAACAACCUCGGCUGUUGUUGAUGCGCCAGCACCCGCGCCGCGGCCCUUGUCACUGUUGCCCCCGCCACUGGUCUCGUCAGUUGAUGAGAAGCCGCAGCUGCAGCACUGCUCACAAGAAGCACCGGUCGCCGAGCAACAAGACGCUUCACUCCCGCUGCCCCUGCCCGCCUCACCCAUGACACGCCGGCGUAAGCGGCCCCUCGCCGCAACGACCGCCGCCAUUGCGCGGGGUCGCAGUCCUCGCGGUUCGGCCGCGGCGCAUCCUGCAGCAGCCACCCCCUCGGCACUUCUGGCACCGACUAAAAGGCACCCGCCACAGCGCUCCCGGACAGCGACAGCCGCGGCAAGUCGAGCCACUCCGUCGCCGCCGAAGCCUGCACCACCACCACCACCACCCUCGUCAUCGCCACCGUCACUUGGAAGAGAUCCAGUGCCGCCGCCGAGGGGCAAUGCAGCGCCUUCUGCUGGCGGGCGCUGCACGUCAGCGGCUCGCACGCCGUCAUCACAGCAGCAGAAGCGGCCACCACCCUCCGGGGCUGCACGCCGCCUCGCAACGGCGGCGAAGCAGGUGUCGUCGUCAGUCGCAUCGCCGUACCAAUCACUCGUCGACGCCGUCCUGGAUGAACAGUUUGCGACUGGAUCUAGCUCGCAGCAGCAGCAGACGGCAGCGGCGGCAGCAGCCACAGGAGUGGCCGUGGGUGGGGGCGACUCAAUCGUGGUAGCGGUGGUGCCGAGUGAACGCCGAGCGCAGCGUCUCGCUGUCACUGGUCGAACGGAGGAUGGCCCCGACGAUAGCGAAGAUGGCGGUGAAGCCGCGGCCUCUGCGCUGGCGCCGCUUCACCAACAAGCCUUGCGACUCCAGCCACUUCCACCCGUGGCUCCUGCAUCGGCGUUGAUGCAAGAGGUGUCGCUGGCGGGCGGAGACGAUGGCGAGCUAGCGGAGACGUUGGCGGACGUCGUCGCCGUCGCGCCAACGCAGGCAAGAGCAGCUACGCAGUCGGCCGCGCAGUCGGCAUUGGCGGUAGAGCGCGCGCGCCUGCUACACGACAGUCCCUGCACGGUGGACGAGCGGGACGCCGCGGGCAGAAUGAGAAGUCUAGAUGCAGAGGCCCGGGAGGGUCUGUGGCGGCCGACGACAGAGCCGCGUGUUGUGGCACGCGCCUUCGAUCACGCUGGUGCUGGCGCUGCCACAAAUCACGGACACGCGAGCGCUGUCUCCUCGAGGGCACCAAAUCGGAUAAGGACGGCUGCGGCGCUGCCCGCAGCAGUGGUCGAGUUUCUGAAAGCCGAGGCCGACGCCGAGGCGGCUGUGAAGGGCACAGCCGCGACUGCCACUGGCGCCGCGGAGCGCCAAAGACGUGCCGUAUCGCCAAAACGCAGCCGCGACAUCGCGGGCGCACGCGCCGGUGCCUCGUCGGCGUCACCUCCCACGACAGCCCUCUCGACCUCGCCCCCUCUUGCGAGUUUUCCACCGGUGCUGUCGCCAGCAGCCGAGAGCGCAGCAGUCUUACGAGACCUGAAAGAUGUGCAGCGACGUCUGCACGCGCACGGACAUCGCCGAGGGACCGCCGCGGCGGCGGCCGGAGCGACACCACCGGAGGCGAAGGCACGCAGCCCUGCCGCAGCAUCGUCCAACAGCACUCAAGGCCCGGAGAGCUGCUCCCCCUGUGACAUCUCCGUCGCUGCCUCGUCAGCCUCAUCGACUGCAACCAGCAGCAGCAGCAGCAGCAGCAGCAGCGCAGCAAUGAAGCACAGCAAGCGGCACGGUAGCGCUCGCAGGAACCGCAUGGUAGGGCUUCGUCGCGCCAGCUCCGAGUACUGGGCCACCGCCUCCCUAACGGAGAUCGUCGACGCUCUCGAUGGACGGUGCGCCGCCGCCCCAGCGCGGGGGCACCGAAAACACAGGCGGCAACGUGGGCAAGCAGACUUUGACCCCGCGAGCUAUGCCCGGCGUCUGCUAGAGACGGCCCCCCGCUCGUGCACCUCGUCGACCGUCUCGGACGACGACGAUGGCGCGUACACCGAUGGCGACGAUGCCGGGUACGACCCCACCGGCCCCCGCCGUCGAGGCGCAGAGGUAGACAUAAGAGGUAAAGAGCGAUGUGAGACUACAGAGGGCAGCCAUGAUCGUCGUUCGCGUAGCGCGCCACCUGCGUCGUGCGGCCCCUCGCCAGCUGCGCUGAAGCGCGAGGCGCUCCUCCGCUCCGGCCCGACGUGGGCGACGGCGGCAGCUGAGCUCGGGCUCACCCCGACGGAGGUGCAAGACCUCCUGCGGUACAGCCUCAGCUCCCCCGAUGCUGCUGCCACGUGGCUUGCGGUCAGCAGCCGCCACGCACGUGAUGCCAAGCGAGUCGUCGAAGCUGCGGUGGAUACGGUGCCCGACGACGGCGUUGGUCGACGGCACGCAGGGCGGCAAAAAAAACGCAGCAGCAGCAGCGUUGCAGGCGGGUCUCCGUCAGAUGUGCACCCACGCCGCCCACACCGGUUGUCCUCCGCAUCGCUGGAUGUGGCAGCGCAGACCGCUCUGGUGCAGCGCAUCGUCGCGGCGAUGCCCGCCGUCCCUGCCGAGCUGCAGGACGAGUUGAGCCGUCAGCGCCGUCUUCUGGAGCGAGUCUGUCGCGAUGUGAGCUGCAUGAGCGCGCCGGCACGCGCUGCCGUGCGAGCACGCCUGGCGUCGCCGACCGUGUCCUCUGCGGCUGCUCGGCAACCGUCGCCGUUGGAGUUCAGCACCGGUGCGAGCGGAGGAGGGGCGCAGACAAAUCCAUCGGCAGCCGCAGAGACACACAACGUGCAGGUGCAGCACGAGGAGGAUCAACAGUUGCUGUUUGCAUCCCUACCGCGGCCGGCGGCGCAUGCGUUGAAGGCCGUCAGCGGCCUUCGCGGUGCCGCAGCGGACCCUUCACGGCCACUGCCACCUUUCCACGCCGUCGUGGCACGGCCCACGCUGUACGCUGUGCCUCAAACUCCAGCGCCCACGACGGGCAACGACGCCGCGGCGCCGCGAGAGCCAUACGAGGUCGCGCUGCGCGAACUAGCAGAGCGGGAGACGCGCCACUACGUCAGCGAGCUGGACCGUCUCCGUACCAUGUACGACCGCCAGCUUCAAGAGGAGCGCCGUCAGCGCCAGCAGGAGCGGCGGCAUUAUGCCGAGCUCCUCCAGAGCCAGCAGCACAAGAUGCUACGUCACCAUCGCGAGACAGUCCACCUGCUGCAGCGCGAGUGUCGCUUGCAACAGCAGCAGCAGGAAUCUCUCGUCCAGAAGCUGGCCGCCUCGCAAGCGGCAGCAGCGCAGCGCCAGCAAGCUCAGCAUGAGCAGACGACGAAGCACAUGCUCGCAGGCGCCGUGGACGUCAUGAAGAGCUACGCGACGGCAGAGGGUCUUCGAAGAGGCGGACAAGCGGAAAUGGAAGAGCCAGCUGGGGUGGCGGUAACCUCCAGAGCCAUGCAGAAACAUCGACGGCAGCAGCCGCGCGUGCACUUCGAGAGUGCGGCAAGCGGAGGGAGCAAGAGCAAGCGGGUCGUUGGCAGCCCAACUCCCUCACUGGCGGCGGCACACAGCCCUGAUGAUAGUGGCACCAGUGACGCUGGAAGGACGCAUAAAGCAACACGCGCUGAGGGCGUAACCGCAGCAGCAACGGUCGCUUCUGCCGCGGUCAACACACCCCCUCGCCCAUCCGUGUGUCUGCCUGUCGUCGGCGUCGCAUCGAGGAUGAGUCCACUCGAUGCGGGCAUUCCCACCGCGGAGCAUCUGAUCCCACCGCAGCCUGCAAGCAGUGCAGCGCAUCUGGGGCUUUCCUCAGUGUCGUCGCUAUCCGCGUCACCGUCACGGAGCACGCUCCCGUCGCCGUCACAUCCAAACACCGACAGCGACGGUGGGCGAGCGCCGAGCGCGCGCAGCACCAUGCGGCCCUCACCUCCAGCUGCGGCGCCGACAGCAGUUGGCAAGAGAGGAGAACAGCACCGCACCGCUACCGGCACGCUAUCGGUGGCUCCGUCUGCAUCAACUCUUGUGCCAACACCGGCGGCUAACACACCAGCAGGAGCAGCGGUUGCCAGUGCGGGACCUCCCAUGAACACACCAGCGAUGCUGCGUGCCGUGUACGGCGGCGAUGCUGGACCACCGCCGCGACAGCCGCGGACACAGGGGCGCAUGACGCUCCCUCUGCACGUGCGCCUCCCUCCUGAGGAUGAUAUGUCUACGCGCCAGCAUCUCGGCGUGGCUGCGCUGGAGGCCGAGUUGUCUGACGUACGCGCUGCCGCCGCCGCGCGUGAUGCCGGACUGGCGGAGGGGACACGCCUCUAUGGUGUCGUGCCCCGCCGGCCUCGCCUUCCCCACGCACCGUCCUCCUCCGACACCGGUGAGGUGGCAGUGGAGCGACUCAACCAGGCUGCCCCGCGCAGAGCGUUGUCGGCGUCGCCGUCGUCCGCGGCCGCCACACGGCACGCGCGCACCCCCGACGGCGAAAAGGCCAUUGGGAGGAGAAGCGCAGAGUCGCGGCGGAGCGGCAGCGGGCGUGGCCGUGGCGGUCAAAAAGGGAGAGGCCGCGUUGGGAAGGGCCCCAGGUCCUCCGCGGGCCGACGUGGGCGACGCACAUCACCGCACGCCACCGUUGGCGGAGGAAGCGGCGACGUCGCCGACCGCAGCAGGCGCCCCCUCCUUCGCCGCUUCGACACGGAGGUCGUGAGCGAGCUCUCCAGCGAGGCCGGCACAGCGCCCUCGCACGCGCGUCCUCUGCACGGUGCGUGGGGAACACCGGCGCCGAAUGCGGCCGCGUCCUCCACUGCAUACCCGUCGUCCGUCGCCCCGCAUGGUGAUGUGAUGGACGGCCGCGGCGUCGUGCCAGAACCAGCACAAUACAGAGGUAUGUGGUCAGAGGCGAUGCGCAUGGAUGACCAAGGCGCUCAUGGCGGGACGGGCCCGCAUCAGGAAGCGGACGAUGCUGCCGGGGUGACGGCGGGCAAGCCAUCGGUUGGGCGGCUGCAUGUGGUGCUGAGCCAACCUGCUGGUGGUGAAGUGGCAGCAGUCACGUGCGCGACGCGCAUCGCUGGCGCAGCGGCCUCACCGGUGCCACGCAUCCCGCAGGCGGUGGAUGCGCAGCUACGAGCGGCGCUGUAUCACCGCGCCGGCGUCCUCAGAGAACUCCGCCAAACGGCUUCGCCAGGCUUGUCGCCGGUGCAGAACGACGGAUCAACAGGCGACACGGACGGGCGCGCCGUCUUAAAUGUCGCGGGCUCCCUCCCUCCCUGCGACAGCGCCUUCUUUGGCGCCCCAGCCGAGGUUCUGAUCAACGCCACCGACAGCUGCGCCGUCGGAGAUGACGGUGACGGUGCGCUGCCAAGCAACCUCGACGUGGCGCCGGUGCCGCUGGUUAUGAUGAGUGACUACGCACGUGCGUGGGCCCGCUAUGCUGCCGCGGAGCGCGAGGUGGAGAGCCACGCGCAGGCGCUCGCGGCCGAAGACACCGGCGUGCUGGAGGCGGUCUCCAUCGCCCAAGAGCGUCGCCGGCGCGGUCGAGGAGAGGAGGACGACGCGGUGUCUGCGGUUGUCGUGGCAACGCCCCACCCAGCCAGCACUGCUGCGGCGGUGCGCUACCGCGAGCAGGAGCUCGGCUAUGGCGACCCGGCGCUGCGGGGAGGCAGCGUGCAUGUUUCGUCGCGCAUGGCUGCAGAAGCGCGGGCACUGACGGAGGCGCGCCGGCGGCUGUCGGCGAUCCGAGCAUGCUUCAUCGCGCCGCCAUCUCUCGGCACCGCCAGCGCACUUGGCAACGCAUCUAUCGGCAGGGUGACGGAGCCGGAUGCCACUGUGCGGGGCGCCGCACUCGUUCGCGAGCUCGUGGAUGCAACGGUGCUGAGUGUGCUUGAGGUGCAGGCACGAGGGGCGCACGAAGACCCGGUGCAGCAGGUGAUGGCUGCCAUGGAGCACGAGAUACUACGCCUCAUGCUGGUCGGCUGUCUUGAGGCGCGGGUAGAGAUCGCCUCUGGACCUGCCAAGGAGGAGAAUGCGCAUCCGCAGCGGACGAAGUCGCAACAGCGGCGGUUGGACGCCGAGCUCGCUUGCGCGAUCGCGGAGGCAGCACUGGAAGACGUCGUGCACGCCGCUCUAGAGCGCUCUUGUCACGACAAGAAAUUGCGCCAAGCCGCCACCACCUCCUCCUCCGACGUCACUGUCACCGCCACCAGUACGAUGACGACGACGGCUGCUCCGGCUCCACCCAUGGAUGCAUCUUCGGCGGCGGAGGUCGAUCCUCGCGAGCACGUAUCUGUCCCUCGCACCUCGUCCACCGCGUGGCUGCAAGACGACCCUGCGCCGCCAGAGACAGCGCCGCAACAGCAAGCGACACCGCAGCCGAAAGCCGUGGGAAAUGCGGAGAGGGAGGCAAACGCGAUCACGGCGACGGCGACGGUGGUCCUGCCGCCACCACGUGGCGACAACCGCGACGCCACCAGCCCUGCGGCGCCGCGGGCAGCAGAGCCAACACCGCAGGAAGUGCGCGUCGUGGUCGACCUCAGUCCUGUCGUGCGCCACAUGAUAACGUCGCGCAUCCCCGCCGCUGCCGUGCCCGCGUACGACUGGCAGCAGCAGCUGCACUGCCCGCCACCAUACCCGCCAAUCCAACAGGAGCAACUCCCCAGCCGAUGGAUGGCGCUCGAGGACCGCAGGGACAUCAUUGUGGAGGCCGAGAGCCCUUUGGUUGUGACGGAGACGAGGGCAGAGCUGCCAGCGCCAACUGUAGCGGAUGCAGAGAUGGCCGGCGAGCACACGUCUGUUGCUGUGCCCGCCACCGAUGGCGGCGGCCUGCCGUCGCUGGCUGUACCAGCACCCCCUCUCCCAGCCGUCGUGCCGCUGCCAGCAGCGGCUUCCGUUGAUUCGCCUUGUGCGCAUGUGGAAGACACGGCGACCCCAGCAGGUCGCACAACCUCGCACGACGCACCGCAGUUCACGCUAAUACGUCUGUUCCAGUCAGCGCUGCUCGACCAGGAGCGGCUGCAGCGCGCCAGUCUAGCUGACCGUGAGGAGGAGCAGCGUCGCGCCCACGAACUUCUCCGAGAGGUUUUGAAUGUCGCCGCAGAGCAAAGGACGUCGACAACACCGGCAGCAGCCGUCGCACUGCCCUCACCGUCCGCGGCCGCGAUCCCCACGGCUGAAUCCCAGCUUGCUCUGUCGCCACGACCGGUGGUCAACGCGGUCGCCGAUGGACCACGGCGCGAGGACGUGGGGACGACAGAGACCGCCACGUCGAGAUUCAGAGCACCGUCGCCGUCGCAGCCCCCGCCCAUUGCGACUCCCGCGACCUCUGCCUCGCGCUGCACUACGCCGCCACGGCCGCUCGUGCGGGACCCGGUGAUGGGAUUUGUGCUGGAGUGGGUGCGGCAGUUUGGCGCCUUGCAGCAGCAGCAGCAGCAGCAGUCAUCGAUGCAUGGCGCGGCGACCGCCACCUCCUCGGCUUCCUUGGUAGAGGGUCUCACCGCGGCAGCACGGACGGCGGCGCGGCAUGAUGCCGCACCGCUUGCGCAGGCUGCUGGGCACCGAUCACUGUCGGGCCCCUUCAUGCGAUACGCCGCGUCACGCCCCUCCACGCGCAACCUCGGCUCCUCGACGACAACGGCGUCCUCGUCGCUGCUGUCGCCGUCGCUGCCGUCGUCUCUGCACACGCGGUCAUCGUCAUCGUCGUCAUUGCUCGAAGACGAGGCGUGGGGGCACGCGAGAAUAACCGGAGAUUGGCACAGCGGCGAGCAACGUGCACGCGUGCCGCACCGCAUCUCAUCGGGAGCACCUUUAGAAGCAGCCCGAGUCUACCAGUGCGCGCCAAUACGCAAGGCGCGGCCGGUACUCGACACGCAGCGCGACGACACCUCUGCGUGCACUGCGACGACACGCUACACGACGGGGCGCAGCUCCGUGGCGUUCGCUUUCGCUGACGAACUGCGAGAGGGCAGAGCGGUGCCGUCAGGUUCGUCGGGCCUCCUCCCUCCUCGUGCAUCCGCCGAAGUGCAGGCGGCGAUGGCUGCAGCGCUGCGUGCGCAUCAGCAGGCCAACCGUGCCGAGGCAUGGGCAGCGGCGCCGGUAGAUGGUAGCCGCUUGGGGGCGACUGACAUCUCGCAGGGCUCUGCCGUGGGCAACAGCUCCUACGCCGUCUCGCUGCCGGCGCGCUCCGCACAGACGGCGGCCGCCAUCGGAACACCACCGCCGAUGGCCGCUGCAGCCGGUGUGCCGUCCAGCAGUCCUGCUAAGCUGCGUGCCCCUCCUCCCACAUGGUCCGCGACGACACGAGAGCCCGCCGAUGCGCGCGACGACGGCAACGGUGGAGCGAAGGACGCGGUGGAUGAUACGUGGAAGCUGAUACCGUCCGGUCGUACGAGAGACAAGGUUGCGGGCACAGUUGCCGUCGUAGGACCUCGCGACGCCUGGAAACAGCGCGCCACCCAACCGCGGUCGAGGUCGCCCCUUCGCACCGCUGAGUGGGUGUGCGUAAGCUUGACAAGCACGUCUACCAGCAGCCACAGCAACGAUCGCGGCGGCAGCGGCCGCGAGCCGAAUCAUGCUCACGCUGCUCAGGGCAACGGCUUCGCCCCGCCUGCGAUCAGCGAAGCCGCGCCGGCAUCAUCUGCGCUGCCGUUCAUGUCCGCGCGAGCGCGCAGUGCAACCGCGCCGGCGAGGACGAAAGGUGUAUAACAAGCUCCCCCGCCCACGGCGCAGCCUCUGCCAGCAACCGCCGCCGCAGUGCCCAUGCCGUCCUCACCGUCAUCGCGGCACAACCGCGGUAACCUUCUGCAAGCACAGGUGUUACGCAUCCAGCAGGAACAGCGUGCCAAGGCCGCGCGCCAGCACUCGUAGCAGCUGUAGCAGCAGCAGGCGCCACCAACGGCCCUCCUCAGUCGGCCCUGCCGGUCCCCACCCCCCUCUUCUCCCUCUCCGUCCUCCUCGCUCUUAGUUCAGGAGUGCCCGUGCGUUCUUCCACGUUGUAUGCGCGCGACGUCGCCUCGGCGUCGACACUGCGCGGGAACCGUCCGCCGAAGCCGAAGCGAAGCGAAGCGAUGGCGACAGCAGCAGCAGCAGCAGCAGCAGCAUCCAUGUGCCUGUGCGAGCAGGCGCCGGCACUGUAGUGUCUGCCCCUCCUCCCGUCACUCCGCGGGCCCUCACCCUACGCAUCCCCGUCCGUACCAACCUCCUCCUCCCUUGCACAUGCGCCAGCCACCCGGGUCAAAUCAUCCCUCGCCUCUGUUCGCUGAACCUCCUCGUCCCGCUUCUUCUCUUCCUCCAG
RNAcentral lists this unclassified non-coding RNA (9457 nucleotides) under Leishmania donovani. RNAcentral's name for it is "gene:LdHU3.03.0890(CDS-product:hypothetical_prote in_conserved)". Lineage: Eukaryota; Euglenozoa; Kinetoplastea; Trypanosomatida; Trypanosomatidae. The record is from RNAcentral.